UACAGAGGGUGCUAGCGUUGUUCGGAAUUACUGGGCGUAAAGCGCGUGUAGGCGGAUAGAGAAGUUGGGUGUGAAAUCCCUGGGCUUAACCCAGGAAUUGCGCCCAAAACCAUCUGUCUGGAAUAUGUCAGGGGAGCGGGGAAUUCCCGGUGUAGAGGUGAAAUUCGUAGAUAUCGGGAGGAACACCAGUGGCGAAGGCGCCGCUCUGGGGCAUUAUUGACGCUGAGACGCGAAAGCUUGGGGAGCAAACAGG
Molecule: ribosomal RNA, 253 nt
Filed under: uncultured bacterium
Lineage: Bacteria
Description: partial 16S ribosomal RNA
Rfam family: Bacterial small subunit ribosomal RNA
Source: RNAcentral